UGAGCAAUUUCUUUUUCUCUUUUAGCAAAGGGAGAGCCCAAUCUGCAAGGUUCUGCUCUCGGGUUGGUCGUGAUUUGUCUAAAGAUUUUCUGCCUGUGAGAAGCUCAAGAAGAACAACACCAAAGCUGUAUACAUCACUUCUAGGAGUAAGAUGGCCUGUCAUUAUAUAUUCAGGUGCUGCAUACCCAUAAGUUCCCAUUAUGCGUGUUGAAACAUGAGUCUUGUCUCCCAUAGGUCCAUCUUUUGCAAGACCAAAAUCAGAGAGCUUUGCAUUAUAUUCCAGGUCAAGUAGAAUAUUAGACGUCUUAAAAUCACGAUAGAUAACAGGUUUAUCAGCUUCAUGGAGAAAGGCAAGUCCUUUUGCUGCACCAAAUGCAAUCUUCAUUCUAAUGUACCAUGGAAGAGGAAGCAAUACUCUUGAAAAUAGAUUGUUUUCC
RNAcentral lists this unclassified non-coding RNA (437 nucleotides) under Hevea brasiliensis (rubber tree). Lineage: Eukaryota; Viridiplantae; Streptophyta; Magnoliopsida; Malpighiales; Euphorbiaceae. The record is from RNAcentral.